RNAcentral lists this long non-coding RNA (747 nucleotides) under Pan troglodytes (chimpanzee). RNAcentral describes it as "long non-coding RNA NONPTRT017448". The record is from RNAcentral. Lineage: Eukaryota; Metazoa; Chordata; Mammalia; Primates; Hominidae.
AGGAUACUCCUAUGGAGUAGGUAUAGUUUCUAACCCUAUUUCAUAGGAUAAAGAAAUUGAAGCUCACAAAGUGACUAGACUGGAAGACAGACCGAGACCCUGUCUCAAAAAAUAUAAAAAUAAAUAAACAAAGACGAGAAAACUAAGGCCCAGAGAUGCUAGAAUGCCAGAAGCCUGGGAUUUGAGCUCGUGAGGGUAAUUAAUGCCAUGGCUGGAGCUAGAUUAAAUGUCAUGAUUAUUCUGAUCUGAAAGUUGAGGCAGAUUUUUCCUUUCUUUCUUUUCUUUCUUUCUUUUUCUUCUUUCUUUCUUUGUUUUUCUUCUUUCUUUCUCUCUCUCUUUUUUUUUUAGACAAAUUUUGCUUGGCGCAAUCUUGGUUCACUGCAACCUUCAGCUCCUGGGUUCAACCGAUUCUCCUGCCUCACAGCCUCCCGAGUAGCUGGGAUUACAGGCGUGUGCCACCACACUUAUUUUCUUAUUAUAUACUUUUAUCUCUCCUUCUGCUCCUCCUUGCAUUUAUUUAAAAGCAGUAAGAUCAGACCAGCCUGGGCAACAGGGGGAGACCCUGUCUCUACAAAAAAAUAAACGAAUCAGCCAGGCACAGUGUUAUGUGCCUGUAGUCCCAGCUCUUCAGGAGACUGAGGUGGAAGAAUGGCUUGAGUCCAGGAGGUUGAGGCUGCAGUGAGCCACCGUCAUGCCACUACACUCUAGCCUGGGUGACAGAGCUAGACACUGUCUCAAAAAAAUAAA